RNAcentral lists this ribosomal RNA (206 nucleotides) under Gallionella sp. Its description in RNAcentral is "partial 16S ribosomal RNA". It matches the Rfam family "Bacterial small subunit ribosomal RNA", at positions 1 to 213 of the family's 1533-position model. The record is from RNAcentral. Lineage: Bacteria; Pseudomonadati; Pseudomonadota; Betaproteobacteria; Nitrosomonadales; Gallionellaceae.
GAACUUAAGAGUUUGAUCCUGGCUCAGAUUGAACGCUGGCGGUAUGCUUUACACAUGCAAGUCGAACGGGCUUGGGGGCUUGCUCCCGAGUUAGUGGCGAACGGGUGAGUAAUAUAUCGGAACAUAUCCGGAAGUGGGGGAUAACGUAGCGAAAGUUACGCUAAUACCGCAUAUGCCCUGAGGGGGAAAGGGGGGGAUUCGUAAGA